Zychaea mexicana is the source of this 83-nucleotide non-coding RNA. The record is from the annotation of a RefSeq genome assembly. Lineage: Eukaryota; Fungi; Mucoromycota; Mucoromycetes; Mucorales; Lichtheimiaceae.
GCUUGCGUGGUCUAGCGGUUAUGAUCUCGGUUUCCCAAGCAGGAAUUAACCGAGGGCCCGGGGUUCGACUCCCCGCGUAAGCA